This 76-nucleotide transfer RNA is filed under the name Stygiobacter sp. GWC2_38_9. Its description in RNAcentral is "Ignavibacteria bacterium GWC2_38_9 tRNA-Ala". It matches the Rfam family "tRNA". Rfam says of the family: Transfer RNA (tRNA) molecules are approximately 80 nucleotides in length. The record is from RNAcentral. Lineage: Bacteria; Pseudomonadati; Ignavibacteriota; Ignavibacteria; Ignavibacteriales; Melioribacteraceae. RNAcentral also lists the same sequence under 8 other names.
GGGACUGUAGCUCAGUUGGGAGAGCGAUUCGUUCGCAACGAAUAGGCCGAGGGUUCGAAUCCCUUCAGUUCCACAA